This 448-nucleotide ribosomal RNA is filed under the name uncultured bacterium. RNAcentral's name for it is "bacterial SSU rRNA". It matches the Rfam family "Bacterial small subunit ribosomal RNA", at positions 94 to 541 of the family's 1533-position model. The record is from RNAcentral.
ACCGGCGCACGGGUGCGUAACGCGUAUGCAAUCUACCUACAGCAGAGGGAUAGCCCGUGGAAACAUGGAUUAAUACCUCAUAAUACAGGGGGCCCACCUGGGCAUAUUGUUAAAGAUUUAUCGGCUGUAGAUGAGCAUGCGUCCCAUUAGCUAGUUGGUACGGUAACGGCGUACCAAGGCGAUGAUGGGUAGGGGUUCUGAGAGGAUGAUCCCCCACACUGGUACUGAGAUACGGACCAGACUCCUACGGGAGGCAGCAGUAGGGAAUAUUGGUCAAUGGACGGAAGUCUGAACCAGCCAUGCCGCGUGCAGGAAGACGGCCUUCUGGGUUGUAAACUGCUUUUAUCAGGGAAGAAAAUACUCUUGCGAGAGGGAUUGCCGGUACCUGAAGAAUAAGCACCGGCUAACUCCGUGCCAGCAGCCGCGGUAAUACGGAGGGUGCAAGCGU